GUUAUCGACUCGCCUCCCUUUGGUCUGUUUCAGAAUGGAAGCCCAGAGUGAACUGGGGACGCACAUUCACUGCUGUGUUGCAGCGCUUGCUGCUCAGGCAACCUUUUUGGAACAACCCAAGAGUUUUCGCCCUUCCCAGUGGAUAAAAGGACACAGUGAAAGACAGUCUCUGAACAGAAAUGGCCUCCGUCGCCAGAACCUUACCAGGGAUUACCACACUCGACAAAUGAAGCACAGUGGCUGGGUGGUUCACCAGCCCUGCCCACGCCAGUACAAUUACUGAGAAGGCUGAGUUAUGUUGGUUGGCUUCCUUAGGUUUUGUGCAUAUGUAUUGGAUGUAUGUGCAUACAAUCAAAGUGCUGCCUCUUUCCAGCCAACUGAAGACCAAUCGCUUAGUGUAUCGGUGUGUUUAGACACUAUCACAACCAGAUUUUUGUGCUGUGUAUCACAAAAUGCCUUGCUCCUGACAAUUACUUUUAAAAAACCUUUUCAGAAUAUUUUUGGAAACAUAUCAAUACAGUGACAGUGUUUGGGGUUGUCUUUAAGUACAAUAAGGUAUAUAUAUAUAUGAGUUAGCAUCUUAAGGACAUUUCUCACCCCAAGUAUAAGAAUAGGCAUCUUCUCAAUUUCCUUUAUUUUGUAUUAUUUAAUCUUUUGUGUAAGCAAAAAUUUAUUCUCAGGGUCAGCCAUAUACUUUAUUGACCAGUACUUGUUAGUCUUUUCUGUAUAUAAUGAGUACAUUUUUACACUAACACGAGCAUUAACAGGUGAUUUUUUUUUUUUUGCCAUGGAUAUAAUGGAAUUAAUGGCUGAACUUACCUUUGAAAGAAAACUUGACAUAUUUCUGUAUGUAUGGUUCCUCCCCCCCCCCCCAGAUUAAGUCAUUGCAGUUCAUUGUGGAAUUCAGGUACAUUAACUUUGGUGAACAACAUUAUUCAGUAAUUCUGAUGUGACUCCAUGAUAUGGUACAAAUACUACAGAUGUUGUGGAGUAAAGCACUUGUUUCAUAUGCAAAGGGGAAAAUCAGACCCAGGAGAUAGUGUUUGGAAUCUGUUUGUAGAUAAUGAGAAGAGCAGUCAGUAUUUGGAGAUGUCUAGAGUUUUAACUGCCAGCUUAGUUGAAAAUGCACAAGUGUGUGCCCAAGCACUCAGUGACUAGAUGCUCAUGUCUGCCACAAGACAGGGAGGGACACAGUGAUAACUCCUCAGACAUGGACUCUGUCCUCCCAAGGGAUUUCUGGUGGCAUCUGUUUAUAGCACCCAAGUGAAGACUGAUGGGUUCAUUUCUACAAGCUUUCAUUUUUCAACUUCACAAUAUCUUUAACCACUUUGGCCUCUGUUUCCUCCACAGCAGGGGAGUAAUAAUACUUACCUCCCUCACAGAGUUGUGAGGAUUAUAUACUGAUGGGAGGUGGGGCUGUCAGAACUGAACUCUGUGAACUUCCAGGGUCUUUCUACUGAACCUAGUUGUGGGAAGCCUGACAGUUUCCUGCCAUGAUUAUUCUUCAGGGUUGGUGCUAAUGAGGCUAGAGUGCAGGGCUCCACUCAUAUAUACCAGUUAACGGCAUGUAGAGGAAAGUCCAUUUUCUUAACCUCUAUCUGGUCAGUUCUUUUUAAAAGCAGUUUUGGUGGAUUUUGAUGAGCCAGCUAUAAUUUCUGGAAAAUUAAACUCAUAUACAGCUUGAAGCGCAUUCUACUGAGGACAGUACCAUUGCCUAUAUAUUCAAACUGCUCAUUUCCCUAGCCCCUCUGCAACCAUAACUAAACAUUUGUUUAUUAAAUAAUUUCAAGGAAAAAAGAUACUGUUAUGUGAAGGAUUAUCCUUGAAGCAGCUUGAUGCAGGGAGCCCUGAGAGACUUUCAGGAAGGAACAGUGCUCCCCUCUGACAAGGCUGGCGUUUAGAGCUGCAGUUAGAUGUUGAAGGGUAUUCUGAACAAACACUGGCUGUGAUUAGGUGCCCGGAUGUCUCUUUAGAACAAGGAUCUAGAUUUCUUCUUCCUUAAUCCUUUUCCAUACUGACUCCCCCUUUUAUUUAUUGGUUUUCUAAUUAAGGGCCAAGUCGGUAAAGUUUGUUAAACUGAGAAGUUGUUUCUAUCUGUUCUCAUGGAGGUGUGCACAUUUUAUACUACAGCUGUUAUAGGGUCAUAUGUUGGUAACUUGAAGUGGA
Molecule: long non-coding RNA, 2166 nt
Filed under: Rattus norvegicus (Norway rat)
Lineage: Eukaryota; Metazoa; Chordata; Mammalia; Rodentia; Muridae
Description: long non-coding RNA NONRATT022097
Source: RNAcentral